AAAGAAAAGUGACUUUUCUUUUAGGCUGAGUUUUAUCAAACAUGUUUCUGUCAGUUCAGAUAAAGAGUUCUGGAAACUGCUUCCAUCAGUCCAGUCACAUCACUGUUGGAGCUUAGUGUGUGUUUAACACAACUAGCGGCCGUUUGCUCCGUCCGUAACCACGGCAACAUGAGGACGUCUCAAAGCAUUUACACUGGCUAGAGUUUGAUUUAGUUAGUGAAGGCUAAAAUCAGGAUCAUGAUACUGGAAACAAGGACGUCGUCCUUCUUCCGGGACAUCCAGCUGUUCUGUCAUCAAACGUGGCACAAAGCAGAAGCUGCUGAACGAGGGCAUGAACUGAACGGAUCUGAAUUCCAGAAAUCUGGGACCAACGGAGUUCCUGAACCAAUAAGAGACGCCUUUGGAGGGAAGCUGUCAGCUGAUGUCAGCCUAGAGUUUCUGACGGCAUGUGGCAACAGACUGAUUUCAGCCAAACUGCAGCUGGACAGCAGCUGGAUGCAGAUCUGAUACACAAAGUCUAGAAAUGGAAAGUUGUGUCCAUCAGACCAACACAGCGGAUUCUGGGAUGUUCUGCUCUCUUGGUGAAACAAGCUAAACAUUGUCAGUCAGCACUAAUCUUUGUAACGUCAGCUCUUCAUGAACUUUCUUUAAACUUUGUGUCUAUGAACAAACUGAAGACGUGUUAAAUUUCUAGCGAGGAGUAAAUGUGGGGCUUUGCUCUGGAAUUUGACUGAGAUCUAAUAAUGAGGGAAUCUGCUGCUCUACAGAGAUGCCGAUCACCAAAGUCUGGACAACACAGCUUUUAAAGAAACCAACUGCUGACUUUUCACAUACUUUUCAGUUUAACGUGUAAAUGUCGUCUUUUUGUGCAUUUUUACUGAAUUUUAUUUGAGUUUUUUUCUUUUUAAACCAAUAAAAACCUCUUCAAUCUGUCUGUCUCUGUCUUAGAUUCAGAGAUGGACUGAAAACACUUGGUGUGCUGGACUAAAUCCAAGCUCAGCUCUUCUGUGCUGGUCUCCUGCAGCCUCUCAGCUGAUGUGGCUGACAGUCUUUUCAUUAUCCGCCAUCUCCAG
Long non-coding RNA from Melanotaenia boesemani (Boeseman's rainbowfish), 1073 nucleotides. RefSeq lists it as uncharacterized. The record is from RefSeq and is a predicted model, not a curated record. The transcript is spliced from 3 exons. NCBI's taxonomy places the organism in Eukaryota, Metazoa, Chordata, Actinopteri, Atheriniformes, Melanotaeniidae.